GAUGAACGCUAGCGGCAGGCUUAAUACAUGCAAGUCGAGGGGCAACAGGGGUAGCAAUACCUGCUGGCGACCGGCAAACGGGUGCGCAACACGUACAGAACCUUCCUUUAAGCGGGGGAUAGCCCAUAGAAAUGUGGAUUAAUACCCCAUGGUAUUAUUUAAUGGCAUCAUUAGAUAAUUAAAGAUUUAUCACUUAAAGAUGGCUGUGCGUCUGAUUAGGUAGUUGGNGCAGGUAACGGCUCACCAAGCCAACGAUCAGUAACUGGUGUGAGAGCACGACCAGUCACACGGGCACUGAGACACGGGCCCGACUCCUACGGGAGGCAGCAGUAAGGAAUAUUGGUCAAUGGACGCAAGUCUGAACCAGCCAUGCCGCGUGAA
Molecule: ribosomal RNA, 381 nt
Filed under: uncultured bacterium
Lineage: Bacteria
Description: bacterial SSU rRNA
Rfam family: Bacterial small subunit ribosomal RNA
Source: RNAcentral